UUGAUCGUUGGUUUAGUGGUUAGAGCGUCCGCCUAGAAUGCGGGAUGUUGUGGGUUCGAUCACCGGUCGAGUCAUACCAAA
Molecule: non-coding RNA, 81 nt
Organism: Potamilus streckersoni
Lineage: Eukaryota; Metazoa; Mollusca; Bivalvia; Unionida; Unionidae
Source: the annotation of a GenBank genome assembly